AUAACACGUUAUCAGCACGAGUCUCUAACCAAUUGAAAUUUUCGAUUGUCUUAACUUUUGUUUGUGUAGGGUUUUGCUUCAAAGAAAGAAGGAAAAGAAGAAAAAAAAAGAAGGAAAAGGCAGAAGCCUUAUUCAAACAAACAAAACAAAAACGUGAAGAAAGAAAAGGAAAAAAAAAGGAAAGAAAGAAGGAAAACAGAAAGAAGGAGAUAGAAUUCUUUAUUGGUAUAU
RNAcentral lists this long non-coding RNA (231 nucleotides) under Nicotiana benthamiana. Its description in RNAcentral is "long non-coding RNA (NBEN_LNC031088)". The record is from RNAcentral. Lineage: Eukaryota; Viridiplantae; Streptophyta; Magnoliopsida; Solanales; Solanaceae.